UUGAUCUCCUGACCUCGUGAUCCACCCGCCUUGGCCUCCCAAAGUGCUGGGAUUACAGGCGUGAACCGCUGUUCCCAGCCGACGCUCAAUUUCUUUAGCUCUUUCUGACUUAUAUGCAAAAAACAUAACAGCAGUUUAUCACCAAGUGUACUUAAUGACCUGUCAGUUGACCACUUGAAUAGGUCCUUUUUAAAUUUUGACAGAAGCAAACAAAGAAUUAGAAGUAACCUAAAGUGCAAAACUACAUGAAGUCUUUCCCAGCCAAUAAAUUCACCUACUUUCUUAAAAUCAACUGCAGAGUUUUGAAUUGUCCCUUUGAUGAGGAGGACAGCCCAGGUACCAAGGCCAGGUACCAGGGUGAAUAAAGGAAGAGAAGCAACGUGGGAGAAGGAGCUGUGGCCAAGGGGGACACGCUAGGCGCGUGCCCUCAUCCAAGGACCUUCUACAGGAAUUCCAGGGCAGAAUCCAUGUGGAACUCCUGCUGUGAUUCUCCAGGGGCUCCCCGGCUCUUGGAAAGGCUUCUGUGUUCCAGGGGUCCAACAUCACUCCGUGAAAGUCUGCUCCCCACCUAGGAGCCCCCUCGAGCCACAGCAGCCUUGCCAGCUGGAGAAGGACCCGAGACGUGCAGAUGGGAGUUGUGGCAGUAGUGGCCAUCUUGAGGGACAGACACCGGGAGAAAACGAGUGAUGCGUGCAAGGAGGGGCAUCGCUGAGCCCACACAAGACUCAAGAUGGAUGAGACAGAGGCGGCCUCAGGUGCCUGCAGGUGGAGAGAGAAGCACUGGGAAGCCUGAAGGAGCAUGAGAAAGACUGUUGCUGUAAGACACGGCGCUAUCUAUGGCCUGAAUAUUUGUUAUCUGUUGAAAUCCUAACCCCGAAGGUGAUGGUAUGAGGAGGUGAGGACUUUGGGAUGGGAUGACUGCUCUCAUAAAGGAGGCUAGAGAAAGGCUCCUGGCCCUUUCCAGCAGGCGAGGACACAGAUGCCAUCUUGAACCAGGAAGUGGCCACACCAGACACGGAAUCUGCCAGCACCUGGUUCCUGCACUUCCCAACCUCCAGAUCUGUGAGAAAUAAAUUUCUGUUGUUUACAGCCAUCCACUCUGUGCUUCAGAGACCUGAACAGACUAAGACAGAUGGUGAGCAGCGCUCUAUAAAGGUGGUGAUUAUAAAGUGAAAUUAAACAUUAUAUAUAAAAAUCCAUGACUGGCUGGGUGCAGUGGUUCACACCUGUAAUCCCAACA
Molecule: long non-coding RNA, 1240 nt
Filed under: Homo sapiens (human)
Lineage: Eukaryota; Metazoa; Chordata; Mammalia; Primates; Hominidae
Description: HSALNT0350688
Source: RNAcentral